Molecule: non-coding RNA, 98 nt
Filed under: Cetobacterium ceti
Lineage: Bacteria; Fusobacteriati; Fusobacteriota; Fusobacteriia; Fusobacteriales; Fusobacteriaceae
Description: TPP sequence
Rfam family: TPP riboswitch aptamer (THI element)
About the family: Vitamin B(1) in its active form thiamin pyrophosphate (TPP) is an essential coenzyme that is synthesised by coupling of pyrimidine and thiazole moieties in bacteria. The previously detected thiamin-regulatory element, thi box was extended, resulting in a new, highly conserved RNA secondary structure, the THI element, which is widely distributed in eubacteria and also occurs in some archaea.
Source: Rfam by way of RNAcentral
CAUGAUUGCUAGGGGAGCCUUCGGGCUGAGAAGUUUUUAACUGACCCUUUGAACCUGAUCUAGUUAACACUAGCGGAGGAAAGCAGAGCUAAUUUCUU